AUGCAAGUCGAGCGGAUGAAGGGAGCUUGCUCCUGGAUUCAGCGGCGGACGGGUGAGUAAUGCCUAGGAAUCUGCCUGGUAGUGGGGGAUAACGUCCGGAAACGGGCGCUAAUACCGCAUACGUCCUGAGGGAGAAAGUGGGGGAUCUUCGGACCUCACGCUAUCAGAUGAGCCUAGGUCGGAUUAGCUAGUUGGUGGGGUAAAGGCCUACCAAGGCGACGAUCCGUAACUGGUCUGAGAGGAUGAUCAGUCACACUGGAACUGAGACACGGUCCAGACUCCUACGGGAGGCAGCAGUGGGGAAUAUUGGACAAUGGGCGAAAGCCUGAUCCAGCCAUGCCGCGUGUGUGAAGAAGGUCUUCGGAUUGUAAAGCACUUUAAGUUGGGAGGAAGGGCAGUAAGUUAAUACCUUGCUGUUUUGACGUUACCAACAGAAUAAGCACCGGCUAACUUCGUGCCAGCAGCCGCGGUAAUACGAAGGGUGCAAGCGUUAAUCGGAAUUACUGGGCGUAAAGCGCGCGUAGGUGGUUCAGCAAGUUGGAUGUGAAAUCCCCGGGCUCAACCUGGGAACUGCAUCCAAAACUACUGAGCUAGAGUACGGUAGAGGGUGGUGGAAUUUCCUGUGUAGCGGUGAGAUGCGU
RNAcentral lists this ribosomal RNA (641 nucleotides) under Pseudomonas aeruginosa. RNAcentral's name for it is "bacterial SSU rRNA". It matches the Rfam family "Bacterial small subunit ribosomal RNA", at positions 55 to 691 of the family's 1533-position model. Lineage: Bacteria; Pseudomonadati; Pseudomonadota; Gammaproteobacteria; Pseudomonadales; Pseudomonadaceae. The record is from RNAcentral.